RNAcentral lists this ribosomal RNA (468 nucleotides) under uncultured bacterium. RNAcentral's name for it is "partial 16S ribosomal RNA". It matches the Rfam family "Bacterial small subunit ribosomal RNA", at positions 28 to 507 of the family's 1533-position model. The record is from RNAcentral.
GACGAACGCUGGCGGCGUGCUUAACACAUGCAAGUCGAACGGAAAGGCCCUGCUUUUGUGGGGUGCUCGAGUGGCGAACGGGUGAGUAACACGUGAGUAACCUGCCCUUGACUUUGGGAUAACUUCAGGAAACUGGGGCUAAUACCGGAUAGGAGCUCCUGCUGCAUGGUGGGGGUUGGAAAGUUUCGGCGGUUGGGGAUGGACUCGCGGCUUAUCAGCUUGUUGGUGGAGUAGUGGCUUACCAAGGCUUUGACGGGUAGCCGGCCUGAGAGGGUGACCGGCCACAUUGGGACUGAGAUACGGCCCACACUCCUACGGGAGGCAGCAGUGGGGAAUAUUGCACAAUGGGCGGAAGCCUGAUGCAGCAACGCCGCGUGCGGGAUUACGGCCUUCGGGUUGUAAACCGCUUUCGCCUGUGACGAAGCGUGAGUGACGGUAAUGGGUAAAGAAGCACCGGCUAACUACGUG